GCUUUUAGCCUGGAUUCCCAAGCUGUUUCCUGAAGGAUUUUGUAUUCCAUUAGUGGUCCUUCUGCCGCUCUUCAGUCUAUGUCUUCAAGUGCCUUCAGUAGCAUCAGCAGAUCUGCCCAGCCAGCCAUGCUCCUCCUUCCACAGCCUUUGCAGUGCAACUGAGAUGGAUAAACUCAGCAUUAAUAAUCUUUUCCACCUGAAUCCCUGUACUUCUGUCUGGCCUCCUUUGCUGUCUCAAAUGGUUAUCCAUGCUGGGACCUUCCUGCUUAUCCCCUCAGAUGAUAUUCACUGAGAGCCUUUGAAGGGUACACGAUGAAAUCUCCUCUGAAGUUACACUCUUCCAGCUGGGUUUCCUCUGUCCUCAGGCUUGAGGAAUGCUUCAAAGACCUCAGGAUUUCAUGAAGGAUUACUGCAGUUAUUUCUUCCUUCUUGGGUCUGCCUCACAGUUCUUGCCCGUGUGGCCAGCAGGUUUCUUGGUUGGUAUGAUCCCUACUUCUCCCUGCCUCCAGUGCCCUGGUGCCACGUUCCAUGAGCCAAGCUGUACCUCACAGUUCAAAAAGCACCUGGCUCCUGCUUGGACAUGGCUGCAGAGUUUGCACAGACACCUGGGCCUGGGAGUGUGUCACAGCUCAUUUCAGUGAGGUGGACAUUAUGGAAGUGGGUUCCAGGAACUGACUGUAGUAACUCCACCUAUCUCCAGAAGUAACUGUACUGGCCCUACCCCUGCACUGAGUAUGUAUGAGUUUGCAGUAUAAACGUUUCACCUGAACAAGGUGAGGGUGUGCAAGGGCUUGGGAGGAUGACCUGCCCUUGGCACCCACUGCUGAUUAAACAUUCCUGAUAACAA
Pogoniulus pusillus (Red-fronted tinkerbird) is the source of this 847-nucleotide long non-coding RNA. RefSeq lists it as uncharacterized. The transcript has 2 exons. The record is from RefSeq and is a predicted model, not a curated record. Lineage: Eukaryota; Metazoa; Chordata; Aves; Piciformes; Lybiidae.